This is a long non-coding RNA of Chiloscyllium plagiosum (whitespotted bambooshark), 991 nucleotides long. RefSeq lists it as uncharacterized. The record is from RefSeq and is a predicted model, not a curated record. NCBI's taxonomy places the organism in Eukaryota, Metazoa, Chordata, Chondrichthyes, Orectolobiformes, Hemiscylliidae.
AAAAUAUACAACAUUCGACAAGCUGAGAUGUCACAUUUGUGAGAAAAAUUUGACUAAUACAUUUCUUGCAAAUUCGAUCCGCAGUAAGUCUGUGCAGGGUGCUAUCCUUAUUUGUUCUUCUUGUGUUACAUUAACUAUGCCCACGAGUAACGCAAGAAGGCUAGUGCCUCUCACAAUAGGCCCGAAGGAAAAUGAAUCUCGGCUGUAGAUGUUAUCGCUGUAAUGUUAAGCAGGGUUAUGUGAAAGAAGGAAGUGUGGCUCCUGAAUUAAAUACAAGCAAAUUGAUAUGAAAAAAAAGGAAAGGAGAAUUUGCGAGGCGUUACUGAGGGGAUCUACAAUAAGAGGGUUUUCUUUGACCUGAAGAAACGUGAAGCUUCAUUUACAUAGAGACAAGACGCAGUGACGUUAGCAGUUAUCCGGGCCGCUAGCUGCUCCAUACGUUCUCCAGAGAUAAUCUAUCCCGUUUCUCUGCUCCAAACCGGCGCUCCGGAACUAGAAAAUAAAACCAAUCUAUCUGUUGAUAAAAUGCUGUACAUUGUCUAUUAGAAAACAAUAAACCGUGUCACGUCUUUAAAAAGUCCCAAUUCCUUUUUUUUUCGCUGCGGCACAGGUCAAAGGCACGCCUGCUUUUCAGAUCUGUGGCUGCCUUAGAAAUUGAACCUCAAAGUGUUUUCAAAAAGAUCAUUAUACCAUUAGGAAAAGUUUAAAGUUUUUUUUUCGUUAAGUGCCAUUUUACGAAAGGAGAGAAGCAUUCCGCUGUUUAACCCCUGAAGUUUCACUGAGCUGGAACGUGCCGUCGAAUGCAAUGCCUUGCAUUUGGGAUCAACUCUGACGCCAGUGCAUUCACAAAAGGUCAAGGAGCUUGACAAUUGGCUGUGAGAAUUUCUUUCUUUUUGGCCCCAACAUUGAACUAAGAUACGAAACGUUCGGGGUGAAAUUUGCAAUAGUCUGUACCACUUGAUGGAUUCUCUGCACGCAACAGUUGCAGAAU